UACGGCGAGUGAAGCGGCAAAAGCUCAAAUUUGAAAUCCUUCGGGAAUUGUAUUUUGAAGGUGGGUUUGGUUAGGAAAAGUUACUUUAAGUCCAUUGGAAAAUGGCGCCAUGGAGGGUGAUAGCCCCGUAAAAGUAUCCCUUUUCCUUUUAUCCAUUCCCUCCAAAGAGUCGAGUUGUUUGGGAAUGCAGCUCUAAGUGGGUGGUAAAUUCCAUCUAAAGCUAAAUAUUGGCGAGAGACCGAUAGCGAACAAGUACAGUGAUGGAAAGAUGAAAAGCACUUUGAAAAGAGAGUGAAAAAGUACGUGAAAUUGUUGAAAGGGAAGGGCUUGCAAGCAGACACAACCUCGGUUGGGCCAGCAUCGGAGUGGGGGGAGACAAAAAAGAAAAGGAAUGUAACUCUUUGAAGA
This 408-nucleotide ribosomal RNA is filed under the name Metschnikowia reukaufii. Its description in RNAcentral is "partial large subunit ribosomal RNA". It matches the Rfam family "Eukaryotic large subunit ribosomal RNA", at positions 85 to 549 of the family's 3401-position model. The record is from RNAcentral. Lineage: Eukaryota; Fungi; Ascomycota; Pichiomycetes; Serinales; Metschnikowiaceae.